GACAGAGGUGCCGAGCGUUAGGCGGAAUCACUGGGCUUAAAGCGUGUGUAGGCGGACUUCUAAGUACCUUGUGAAAUCCCACGGCUCAACCGUGGAACUGCUUGGUAUACUGGUUGUCUUGAGCCACUUAGGGGCAGUCGGAACAGACGGUGGAGCGGUGAAAUGCGUAGAUAUCGGGAGGAACACCUGUGGCGAAAGCGGCUCACUGGACCACAACUGACGCUGAUGCACGAAAGCUAGGGGAGCAAACAGG
RNAcentral lists this ribosomal RNA (253 nucleotides) under uncultured bacterium. Its description in RNAcentral is "partial 16S ribosomal RNA". It matches the Rfam family "Bacterial small subunit ribosomal RNA", at positions 524 to 776 of the family's 1533-position model. The record is from RNAcentral.